GAAAUGCGAUAAGUAAUGUGAAUUGCAGAAUUCAGUGAAUCAUCGAAUCUUUGAACCCAUAUUGCGCCCCUUGGUAUUCCGAGGGGCAUGCCUGUUCGAGCGUUAUUAUAACUCCUCAAGCCCAGCUUGGUGUUGGGGUCUGCCGCACGGAUAGGCCUUAAAAUAAGUGGCGGUGCUAUCUGACUCUAAGCCUAGUAAUUCUUCUCGCUAUAGAGUCCCGGUGGAUGCUUGCCAUUAACCUCCAUUUUCUAUGGUUGACCUCGGAUCAGGUAGGGAUACCCGCUGAACUUAA
Molecule: unclassified non-coding RNA, 292 nt
Filed under: uncultured Helotiales
Lineage: Eukaryota; Fungi; Ascomycota; Leotiomycetes; Helotiales
Description: sequence contains ITS1
Rfam family: 5.8S ribosomal RNA (bases 1-105)
Source: RNAcentral